UACAGAGGUCCCAAGCGUUGUUCGGAUUCAUUGGGCGUAAAGGGUGCGUAGGCGGCGCGGUAAGUCGGGUGUGAAAUCUCGGGGCUUAACUCCGAAACUGCAUUCGAUACUGCCGUGCUUGAGGACUGGAGAGGAGAUUGGAAUUCACGGUGUAGCAGUGAAAUGCGUAGAUAUCGUGAGGAAGACCAGUGGCGAAGGCGGAUCUCUGGACAGUUCCUGACGCUGAGGCACGAAGGUCAGGGGAGCAAACGGG
Molecule: ribosomal RNA, 253 nt
Filed under: uncultured bacterium
Lineage: Bacteria
Description: partial 16S ribosomal RNA
Rfam family: Bacterial small subunit ribosomal RNA
Source: RNAcentral